RNAcentral lists this ribosomal RNA (658 nucleotides) under Macrobrachium equidens. Its description in RNAcentral is "eukaryotic LSU rRNA". It matches the Rfam family "Eukaryotic large subunit ribosomal RNA", at positions 662 to 1125 of the family's 3401-position model. The record is from RNAcentral. Lineage: Eukaryota; Metazoa; Arthropoda; Malacostraca; Decapoda; Palaemonidae.
CAGACCAAGGAGUCCAACAUGUGCGCGAGUCUAAGGGUUGAAUAAACCCGGAGGCGAAAUGAAAGUGAGCUCCUUGAGUGGGGCAGGCCGAUCCCUGGUUCCGAGCCCGGGCCGUGGCGGGGUGGGCGGGCGAAACCUCCUGAUGGGGGGGAUUUGCCUGCCGCCUUUGCKGCGGCUUUGGGCGAGGGGCCGGCCCCCUUUUCGGAGGGGGUUCUCGGGGCGCAGGCCGAGGACUUGCCUGAGUGCGGCGCGGGCAACGGGUUCCUCUGCCCCUGCGGGGGCGGGGGUUCCUCAUCCCGACGUCCGCCGGCAAGUACCUGAGAGCGCAGCCGUUGGGACCCGAAAGAUGGUGAACUAUGCCUGGCGAGGACGAAGCCAGAGGAAACUCUGGUGGAGGUCCGAAGCAGUUCUGACGUGCAAAUCGAUUGUCAGAGCUGGGUAUAGGGGCGAAAGACUAAUCGAACCAUCUAGUAGCUGGUUCCCUCCGAAGUUUCCCUCAGGAUAGCUGGCAUUGAUUUGAUGAGUUUCAUCCGGUAAAGCGAAUGAUUAGAGGCCGUGGUGGUGCAAUGCCGUCAACCUAUUCUCAAACUUUAAAUGGGUGAGCUGUAGAGCUUGCUUGAAAUGUGAAGCUGUAUAAUUGAUUGAAUCAGAAUGCCUA